Molecule: long non-coding RNA, 1783 nt
Organism: Oncorhynchus keta (chum salmon)
Lineage: Eukaryota; Metazoa; Chordata; Actinopteri; Salmoniformes; Salmonidae
Exons: 7
Source: RefSeq, a predicted model, not a curated record
CUACUCCUGCGCAAGGUAACUAUGACCUCAUCACAGAGGUUCUACACCUGCGCAAGGUAACUAUGACCUCAUCACAGAGGUUCUACACCUGCGCAAGGUAACUAUGACCUCAUCACAGGGGUUCUACUCCUGCCCAAGGUAACUAUGACCUCAUCACAGAGGUUCUACACCAGCGUGCAAGGUAACUAUGACCUCAUCACACGGGUUCUACACCAGCGUGCAAGGUAACUAUGACCUCAUCACACGGGUUCUACACCAGCGUGCAAGGUAACUAUGACCUCAUCACACGGGUUCUACACCAGCGUGCAAGGUAACUAUGACCUCAUCACACGGGUUCUACACCAGCGUGCAAGGUAACUAUGACCUCAUCACACGGGUUCUACACCAGCGUGCAAGGUAACUAUGACCUCAUCACACGGGUUCUACACCAGCGUGCAAGGUAACUAUGACCUCAUCACACGGGUUCUACACCAGCGUGCAAGGUAACUAUGACCUCAUCACACGGGUUCUACACCAGCGUGCAAGGUAACUAUGACCUCAUCACACGGGUUCUACACCAGCGUGCAAGGUAACUAUGACCUCAUCACACGGGUUCUACACCAGCGUGCAAGGUAACUAUGACCUCAUCACACGGGUUCUACACCAGCGUGCAAGGUAACUAUGACCUCAUCACACGGGUUCUACACCAGCGUGCAAGGUAACUAUGACCUCAUCACAGAGGUUCUACACCAGCGUGCAAGGUAACUAUGACCUCAUCACAGAGGUUCUACACCAGCGUGCAAGGUAACUAUGACCUCAUCACAGAGGUUCUACACCAGCGUGCAAGGUAACUAUGACCUCAUCACAGAGGUUCUACACCAGCGUGCAAGGUAACUAUGACCUCAUCACACGGGUUCUACACCAGCGUGCAAGGUAACUAUGACCUCAUCACACGGGUUCUACACCAGCGUGCAAGGUAACUAUGACCUCAUCACACGGGUUCUACACCAGCGUGCAAGGUAACUAUGACCUCAUCACACGGGUUCUACACCAGCGUGCAAGGUAACUAUGACCUCAUCACACGGGUUCUACACCAGCGUGCAAGGUAACUAUGACCUCAUCACACGGGUUCUACACCAGCGUGCAAGGUAACUAUGACCUCAUCACACGGGUUCUACACCAGCGUGCAAGGUAACUAUGACCUCAUCACAGAGGUUCUACACCAGCGUGCAAGGUAACUAUGACCUCAUCACACGGGUUCUACACCAGCGUGCAAGGUAACUAUGACCUCAUCACAGAGGUUCUACACCAGCGUGCAAGGUAACUAUGACCUCAUCACAGAGGUUCUACACCAGCGUGCAAGGUAACUAUGACCUCAUCACAGAGGUUCUACACCAGCGUGCAAGGUAACUAUGACCUCAUCACAGAGGUUCUACACCAGCGUGCAAGGUAACUAUGACCUCAUCACAGAGGUUCUACACCAGCGUGCAAGGUAACUGACCUCAUCAGAGGUUCUACACCAGCGUGCAAGGUAACUAUGACCUCAUCACACGGGUUCUACACCAGCGUGCAAGGUAACUAUGACCUCAUCACACGGGUUCUACACCAGCGUGCAAGGUAACUAUGACCUCAUCACACGGGUUCUACACCAGCGUGCAAGGUAACUAUGACCUCAUCACACGGGUUCUACACCAGCGUGCAAGGUAACUAUGACCUCAUCACAGAGGUUCUACACCAGCGUGCAAGGUAACUAUGACCUCAUCACAGAGGUUCUACACCAGCGUGCAAGGUAACUAUGACCUCA